Molecule: ribosomal RNA, 281 nt
Filed under: uncultured Staphylococcus sp.
Lineage: Bacteria; Bacillati; Bacillota; Bacilli; Caryophanales; Staphylococcaceae
Description: partial 16S ribosomal RNA
Rfam family: Bacterial small subunit ribosomal RNA
Source: RNAcentral
CUCCUUUGACGUUAGCGGCGGACGGGUGAGUAACACGUGGGUAACCUACCUAUAAGACUGGGAUAACUUCGGGAAACCGGAGCUAAUACCGGAUAAUAUUUCGAACCGCAUUGUUCGAUAGUGAAAGGUGGUUUUGCUAUCACUUAUAGAUGGACCCGCGCCGUAUUAGCUAGUUGGUAAGGUAACGGCUUACCAAGGCUACGAUACGUAGCCGACCUGAGAGGGUGAUCGGCCACACUGGAACUGAGACACGGUCCAGACUCCUACGGGAGGCAGCAGCC